This 73-nucleotide transfer RNA is filed under the name Felis catus (domestic cat). It matches the Rfam family "tRNA". From Rfam's summary of the family: Transfer RNA (tRNA) molecules are approximately 80 nucleotides in length. Their secondary structure includes four short double-helical elements and three loops (D, anti-codon, and T loops). Further hydrogen bonds mediate the characteristic L-shaped molecular structure. tRNAs have two regions of fundamental functional importance: the anti-codon, which is responsible for specific mRNA codon recognition, and the 3' end, to which the tRNAs corresponding amino acid is attached (by aminoacyl-tRNA synthetases). tRNAs cope with the degeneracy of the genetic code in two manners: having more than one tRNA (with a specific anti-codon) for a particular amino acid; and 'wobble' base-pairing, i.e. permitting non-standard base-pairing at the 3rd anti-codon position. Lineage: Eukaryota; Metazoa; Chordata; Mammalia; Carnivora; Felidae. The record is from Rfam by way of RNAcentral.
GCCCGGCUGGCUCAGUCAGUGGAGCAUGAGACCUUUGAUCUUGGGGUUGUGAGUUUGAGCCCCAUGCUGGGUA